Molecule: long non-coding RNA, 955 nt
Filed under: Helianthus annuus (common sunflower)
Lineage: Eukaryota; Viridiplantae; Streptophyta; Magnoliopsida; Asterales; Asteraceae
Description: hypothetical non coding rna
Source: RNAcentral
UUUUCCUUCUCUCUCUAACAAUCCUAACACCACCACAAUCCACCUGUCGUCGUCGCCACCACCACCGCCACCCUCCUGCCACCACCACCACUUCACUGCAACACCCAUUUCGCCCCAUUUCGUAAGCCCCUGUUUUUUCUCAUCCAUCGUUGAACACUAUAUUGAACCAAUUUUGAAGUGGGUGAGUGAAAUUGACCGACGGGGACAAGACCGGCGGGGCUGUAGCGGUGGUCAUGGGUGGCGGAAUUACCCAAUCUAGAUUCAGCCCCACAAAUUUACUCACAUAUAUAUAAAAUGAAGGAAUUACCCAUCGAAAGUGUUCUUCAACUCCCUCUUCCAUCAUCCUUUUCCUGUUUUGCAAAGUGUAAAACACUAUUUAACACAACAAGUAUAUAAAUCUCUGAAUCAGAAACUUCUACUCUGAAACACAAUUAGUUCACUAAAUAAAGAUGUUACCAGAUCUACAUCUUCCAGCAUCAUCAUCCUCUUCCUUGUGAAUGGAGACGAAGAGACUUCUACCAGAUCUACGUCUUCAAGAUAAUCAACAAAAUUUUUUGAGGUGUCUUCAGCCAUGAAACUCAAAAACACAUCAAUGUUUGUUCAAGGAUCGAAUAAAAUGAAGUCUAUACGGGGGGAAUUUGUGAACUGAUUGGAAACAAAAUUGGAAGAGAUGAUCGAAAAAAAGUGUUUAUGGAAAAACAGGGGUAAAGAGUAAAGGUUAAUAAUGGUCAACAAAGGGGGAAAUUAUUCUUUUAAUUUAUUAUUUGUUAUAAUUGUUUGUUUUAGUAAUCAAAGUAAAAUGACCAAAAUACCCUUAUGUAAACUGUCAAAAUAACUGAGUUAAGGCUAAAGGACAUAACUUGUAAGGGUUUGUAAACAUCGAGUACGUUUCUUGUAUAUAUUGAAGAUAAAGGACACACUUUGCAAUAAAUAGCAUACAUAAAGGACGAUUUUU